ACAGAGGUGGCGAGCGUUGUUCGGAUUUACUGGGCGUAAAGGGCGCGUAGGCGGCGGAGUGUGUCGGGUGUGAAAUCCCAGGGCCCAACCCUGGAAGUGCGCCCGAAACUGCUCCGCUUGAGUGCGGGAUGGGAGAUCGGAAUGCAUGGUGUAGCGGUGAAAUGCGUGGAUAUCAGGCGGAACACCGGUGGCGAAGGCGGACAACUGGAACGGAACUGACGCUGAUGCGCGAAAGUGUGGGGAGCAAACAG
RNAcentral lists this ribosomal RNA (251 nucleotides) under uncultured prokaryote. Its description in RNAcentral is "partial 16S rRNA". It matches the Rfam family "Bacterial small subunit ribosomal RNA", at positions 525 to 775 of the family's 1533-position model. The record is from RNAcentral.